Molecule: ribosomal RNA, 583 nt
Filed under: uncultured bacterium
Lineage: Bacteria
Description: bacterial SSU rRNA
Rfam family: Bacterial small subunit ribosomal RNA
Source: RNAcentral
CCUACGGGAGGCAGCAGUGGGGAAUUUUGGACAAUGGGCGCAAGCCUGAUCCAGCCAUGCCGCGUGUGGGAAGAAGGCCUUCGGGUUGUAAACCACUUUUGUCAGGGAAGAAACGGUCUGAACUAAUACUUUGGACUAAUGACGGUACCUGAAGAAUAAGCACCGGCUAACUACGUGCCAGCAGCCGCGGUAAUACGUAGGGUGCAAGCGUUAAUCGGAAUUACUGGGCGUAAAGCGUGCGCAGGCGGCUUUGCAAGACAGAUGUGAAAUCCCCGGGCCCAACCUGGGAACUGCAUUUGUGACUGCAUGGCUAGAGUACGGUAGAGGGGGAUGGAAUUCCGCGUGUAGCAGUGAAAUGCGUAGAUAUGCGGAGGAACACCGAUGGCGAAGGCAAUCCCCUGGACCUGUACUGACGCUCAUGCACGAAAGCGUGGGGAGCAAACAGGAUUAGAUACCCUGGUAGUCCACGCCCUAAACGAUGUCAACUGGUUNUUGGGAGGGUUUCUUCUCAGUAACGAAGCUAACGCGUGAAGUUGACCGCCUGGGGAUACGGCCGCAGGUUGAAACUCAAAUGAAUUGACGG